GACGAACGCUGGCGGCGUGCUUAACACAUGCAAGUCGAACGGAAAGGCCCUGCUUUUGUGGGGUGCUCGAGUGGCGAACGGGUGCGUAACACGUGAGUAACCUGCUCUUGACUUUGGGAUAACUUCAGGAAACUGGGGCUACUAUCGGAUAGGAGCUCCUGCUGCAUGGUGGGGGUUGGAAAGUCUCGGCGGUUGGGGAUGGACUCGCGGCUUAUCAGCUUGUUGGUGGGGUAGUGGCUUACCAAGGCUUUGACGGGUAGCCGGCCUGUGAGGGUGACCGGCCACAUUGGGACUAAGAGACGGCCCAGACUCCUACGGGAGGCAGAAGUGGGGAAUAUGGCACAAUGGGCGGAAGCCUGAGGCAGCAACGCCGCGGGCGGGAUGACGGCCUUCGGGUUGUAAACCGCUUUCGCCUGUGACGAAGCGUUAGUGACGGUAAUGGGUAAAGAAGCACCGGCUAACUACGUG
RNAcentral lists this ribosomal RNA (468 nucleotides) under uncultured bacterium. Its description in RNAcentral is "partial 16S ribosomal RNA". It matches the Rfam family "Bacterial small subunit ribosomal RNA", at positions 28 to 507 of the family's 1533-position model. The record is from RNAcentral.